AUUGAACGCUGGCGGCAGGCUUAACACAUGCAAGUCGAGCGAGCGGCGGACGGGUGAGUCAUGUCUGGGAAACUGCCUGAUGGAGGGGGAUAACUACUGGAAACUGUCGCUAAUACCGCAUACCAUCAGAUGUGCCCAAAUGGGAUUAGCUAGUAGGUGGGGUAAUGGCUCACCAAGCCGACGAUCCCUAGCUGGUCUGAGAGGAUGACCAGCCACACUGGAACUGAGACACGGCCCGGACUCCUACGGGAGGAAGCAGUGGGGAAUAUUGCACAAGGGGCGCAAGCCUGAUGCAGCCAUGCCGCGUGAAUGAAGAAGGCCUUCGGGUUGUAAAGUACUUUCAGCGAGGAGGCGUUACUCGCAGAAGAAGCACCGGCUAACUCCGUGCCAGCAGCCGCGGUAAUAC
This 406-nucleotide ribosomal RNA is filed under the name uncultured bacterium. Its description in RNAcentral is "partial 16S ribosomal RNA". It matches the Rfam family "Bacterial small subunit ribosomal RNA", at positions 30 to 526 of the family's 1533-position model. The record is from RNAcentral.